This 435-nucleotide ribosomal RNA is filed under the name uncultured bacterium. RNAcentral describes it as "partial 16S ribosomal RNA". It matches the Rfam family "Bacterial small subunit ribosomal RNA", at positions 29 to 507 of the family's 1533-position model. The record is from RNAcentral.
AACGAACGCUGGCGGCAGGCCUAACACAUGCAAGUCGAGCGGACAUCUUCGGAUGUUAGCGGCGGACGGGUGAGUAACGCGUGGGAACGUGCCCUUUGCUUCGGAAUAGCCUCGGGAAACUGGGAGUAAUACCGGAUGUACCCGUUGGGGGAAAGAUUUAUCGGCAAAGGAUCGGCCCGCGUUGGAUUAGGUAGUUGGUGGGGUAAUGGCCUACCAAGCCGACGAUCCAUAGCUGGUUUGAGAGGAUGAUCAGCCACACUGGGACUGAGACACGGCCCAGACUCCUACGGGAGGCAGCAGUGGGGAAUCUUAGACAAUGGGGGAAACCCUGAUCUAGCCAUGCCGCGUGAGCGAUGAAGGCCUUAGGGUUGUAAAGCUCUUUCACCGGGGAAGAUAAUGACGGUACCCGGAGAAGAAGCCCCGGCUAACUCCGUG